AAUUAUUGGGAAAAAAAGUUCUAAUAUUGUUUGACUUUUGAUUAUGUAUUUUAUGAUUAGUGAAGUUGAUCCUUUGGAAUGCUUAAUUUAGAAGAUGUAGCUUUUGUCAGUUUAUGAUUAUACAAAAAACUGGGAGCAAGAAUUCGUUUGCCUUAAUUCGUUUGACUUAUGGGAUGAUAAGGGAGUUUAUUAUUAUAAGGAGCAUGAGGUGGGAUUAUUAGAAAGGAAAUAAAAGACACUAAGUGAUGGAUUAGCA
This 256-nucleotide long non-coding RNA is filed under the name Panax ginseng (ginseng). Its description in RNAcentral is "long non-coding RNA (PGIN_LNC013302)". Lineage: Eukaryota; Viridiplantae; Streptophyta; Magnoliopsida; Apiales; Araliaceae. The record is from RNAcentral.